AUGGUCCAGAUACUGUCCCUCAUCCACAGCAAAAAUGGGACUCUGAGUAGCAUGCCCUACAUACCAGCAGACUUCACAAACCUAAAGGCAAAGUACCAUAGAGAGAGCAGGUUGGCUGACAUAGAAGACACGAUAGCCUACUUCGAUGAGAAAGCGAAAGAAGAUCCAGAUUUCUUCUACAGGAUUAGAUUGGACGAUGAGGACCAUGUCAGGAACAUGUAUUGGGUGGAUGGUGCUGCAAGAAGAGCCUACAAACAUUUUCGAGAUUGCAUUUCAUUCAACACGACAUAUCUCACUAAUAUGUACAAGAUGCCAUGCACUCCAUUCAUAGGAAUAAAUAAGCACAAUCAGUCAUUGUAG
RNAcentral lists this ribosomal RNA (360 nucleotides) under Triticum aestivum (bread wheat). RNAcentral's name for it is "partial small subunit ribosomal RNA". The record is from RNAcentral. Lineage: Eukaryota; Viridiplantae; Streptophyta; Magnoliopsida; Poales; Poaceae.